CUUUAUCGGAGAGUUUGAUCCUGGCUCAGGACGAACGCUGGCGGCGUGCCUAAUACAUGCAAGUCGAGCGGACAGAUGGGAGCUUGCU
RNAcentral lists this ribosomal RNA (88 nucleotides) under Bacillus subtilis subsp. subtilis. RNAcentral describes it as "partial 16S ribosomal RNA". It matches the Rfam family "Bacterial small subunit ribosomal RNA", at positions 1 to 84 of the family's 1533-position model. RNAcentral also lists the same sequence under 1 other name. Lineage: Bacteria; Bacillati; Bacillota; Bacilli; Caryophanales; Bacillaceae. The record is from RNAcentral.